CCUACGGGAGGCAGCAGUGGGGAAUUUUGGACAAUGGGCGCAAGCCUGAUCCAGCCAUGCCGCGUGUGGGAAGAAGGCCUUCGGGUUGUAAACCACUUUUGUCAGGGAAGAAACGGUCUGAACUAAUACUUUGGACUAAUGACGGUACCUGAAGAAUAAGCACCGGCUAACUACGUGCCAGCAGCCGCGGUAAUACGUAGGGUGCAAGCGUUAAUCGGAAUUACUGGGCGUAAAGCGUGCGCAGGCGGCUUUGCAAGACAGAUGUGAAAUCCCCGGGCUCAACCUGGGAACUGCAUUUGUGACUGCAUGGCUAGAGUACGGUAGAGGGGGGAUGGAAUUCCGCGUGUAGCAGUGAAAUGCGUAGAUAUGCGGAGGAACACCGAUGGCGAAGGCAAUCCCCUGGACCUGUACUGACGCUCAUGCACGAAAGCGUGGGGAGCAAACAGGAUUAGAUACCCUGGUAGUCCACGCCCUAAACGAUGUCAACUGGUUGUUGGGAGGGUUUCUUCUCAGUACGAAGCUAACGCGUGAAGUUGACCGCCUGGGGAGUACGGCCGCAAGGUUGAAACGUCGAAAGGAAUUGGACGG
RNAcentral lists this ribosomal RNA (588 nucleotides) under uncultured bacterium. Its description in RNAcentral is "bacterial SSU rRNA". It matches the Rfam family "Bacterial small subunit ribosomal RNA", at positions 338 to 917 of the family's 1533-position model. The record is from RNAcentral.